UACGUAGGGGGCUAGCGUUGUCCGGAUUUAUUGGGCGUAAAGAGCGUGUAGGCGGCCAGGUAGGUCUGCUGUGAAAACUCGAGGCUCAACCUCGAGACGCCGGUGGAAACCGUGUGGCUAGAGUCCGGAAAGAGGAGAGUGGAAUUCCCGGUGUAGCGGUGAAAUGCGCAGAUAUCGGGAAGAACACCCGUGGCGAAGGCGGCUCUCUGGGACGGUACUGACGCUGAGACGCGAAAGCGUGGGGAGCGAACAGG
This 254-nucleotide ribosomal RNA is filed under the name uncultured bacterium. Its description in RNAcentral is "partial 16S ribosomal RNA". It matches the Rfam family "Bacterial small subunit ribosomal RNA", at positions 524 to 776 of the family's 1533-position model. The record is from RNAcentral.